UACGUAGGGGGCAAGCGUUAUCCGGAAUCAUUGGGUUUAAAGGGUGCGUAGGCGGGAUUGUAAGUCAGUGGUGAAAUUUCCGGGCUUAACCUGGGCGCUGCCAUUGAUACUGCAGUUCUUGAGUAUAGUUGAUGUUGGCGGAAUGUGACAUGUAGCGGUGAAAUGCAUAGAUAUGGAGGAACACCGAUAGCGAAGGCAGCUGACAAAACUAUAACUGACGCUGAUGCACGAAAGCGUGGGGAGCAAACAG
RNAcentral lists this ribosomal RNA (250 nucleotides) under uncultured bacterium. RNAcentral's name for it is "partial 16S ribosomal RNA". It matches the Rfam family "Bacterial small subunit ribosomal RNA", at positions 524 to 775 of the family's 1533-position model. The record is from RNAcentral.